RNAcentral lists this ribosomal RNA (363 nucleotides) under Triticum aestivum (bread wheat). RNAcentral's name for it is "partial small subunit ribosomal RNA". Lineage: Eukaryota; Viridiplantae; Streptophyta; Magnoliopsida; Poales; Poaceae. The record is from RNAcentral.
AUGUCAUGGUGGACUGGGCCGUCGUUCUUGGCCGCGCCGCACAGGCCGCCCUCCAUAGCAGCCGCUCCGUCGUCCUUGGCGCCGCCAGCCGCAGUAGCAGCAUCAACUAUGGGGAGGAAGGGGAGGAGCAGGGAAGCGCCAUGGGAGGACGGGCAGGAGAGAGGUGGUGCUAUGGGGAGGAAGGAGAAGAGCAGGGCUGCGCCAUGGAGAGAGGAAGGGAAGGAGAGCAGCGACGCCAUGGGAGCAGGGGGAAAAGCAGGGCGGCGCGACAGGGAGGAAGGGGAGGAGAGGACCAGCAGGGAAGAAGCAGUAGCAGCGCUGUCGGUGGAGAAAUCGGUCAAGAAUAAAAAAAGUGUCGCAUAG